Molecule: ribosomal RNA, 464 nt
Filed under: uncultured bacterium
Lineage: Bacteria
Description: bacterial SSU rRNA
Rfam family: Bacterial small subunit ribosomal RNA
Source: RNAcentral
AAUCAACGCUGGCGGCGUGCCUAACACAUGCAAGUCGAACGAGAAAGGGACUUCGGUCCUGAGUACAGUGGCGCACGGGUGAGUAACACGUGACUAACCUACCCUUGAGUGGGGAAUAACUUCGAGAAAUCGAGGCUAAUACCGCAUAACACCUACGGGUCAAAGGAGCAAUUCGCUUAAGGAGGGGGUCGCGGCAGAUUAGUUAGUUGGCGGGGUAAUGGCCCACCAAGACAGUGANCUGUAUCCGGCCUGAGAGGGCGCACGGACACACUGGAACUGAAACACGGUCCAGACUCCUACGGGAGGCAGCAGUGGGGAAUUUUGCGCAAUGGGGGAAACCCUGACGCAGCAACGCCGCGUGGAGGAUGAAGUCUCUUGGGACGUAAACUCCUUUCGACCGGGACGAUAAUGACGGUACCGGAAGAAGAAGCCCCGGCUAACUUCGUGCCAGCCGCCGCCGUAAC